GACGAACGCUGGCGGCGUGCUUAACACAUGCAAGUCGAACGGUAAGGCCCUUCGGGGUACACGAGUGGCGAACGGGUGAGUAACACGUGGGUGAUCUGCCCUGCACUUCGGGAUAAGCCUGGGAAACUGGGUCUAAUACCGGAUAGGACUCCUGCCUGCAUGGGUGGGGGUGGAAAGCUUUUGCGGUGUGGGAUGGGCCCGCGGCCUAUCAGCGUGUUGGUGGGGUGAUGGCCUACCACGGCGACGACAGGUAGCCGGCCUGAGAGGGUAACCGGCCACACUGGGACUGGGAUGCGGACCAGACGCCUACGGGAGGCAGCAGUGGGGAAUAUUGCGCAAUGGGCGCAAGCCUGAUGCAGCGUCGCCGCGUGAGGGAUGACGGCCUUCGGGUUGUAAACCUCUUUCAGCACAGACGAAGCGCAAGUGACGGUAUGUGCAGAAGAAGGACCGGCCAACUACGUGCCAGCCGCCGCAGUAA
RNAcentral lists this ribosomal RNA (478 nucleotides) under uncultured bacterium. RNAcentral describes it as "partial 16S ribosomal RNA". It matches the Rfam family "Bacterial small subunit ribosomal RNA", at positions 28 to 523 of the family's 1533-position model. The record is from RNAcentral.